Molecule: ribosomal RNA, 120 nt
Filed under: uncultured bacterium
Lineage: Bacteria
Description: partial 16S ribosomal RNA
Rfam family: Bacterial small subunit ribosomal RNA
Source: RNAcentral
UCGCCAUUAGAUGGGCCCGCGUCGGAUUAGCUAGUUGGUGAGGUAAUGGCUCACCAAGGCGACGAUCCGUAGCUGGUCUGAGAGGAUGACCAGCCACACUGGGACUGAGACACGGCCCAG